UACGUAGGGUGCGAGCGUUGUCCGGAAUUACUGGGCGUAAAGGGUGCGCAGGCGGCCAAGUGUGUGAGGCGUGAAAGCCUGGGGCUUAACCCCAGAAUUGCACCUCAAACUACUUGGCUAGAGCAUUGGAGAGGGUAGCAGAAUUCAUGGUGUAGCAGUGAAAUGCGUAGAUAUCAUGAGGAAUACCAGAGGCGAAGGCGGCUACCUGGACAAUUGCUGACGCUCAGGCACGAAAGCGUGGGGAGCAAAAGGG
Molecule: ribosomal RNA, 253 nt
Filed under: uncultured bacterium
Lineage: Bacteria
Description: partial 16S ribosomal RNA
Rfam family: Bacterial small subunit ribosomal RNA
Source: RNAcentral